CCUACGGGUUGCAGCAGUGGGGAAUAUUGGACAAUGGGCGAAAGCCUGAUCCAGCCAUGCCGCGUGUGUGAAGAAGGCCUUCGGGUUGUAAAGCACUUUCAGUGGGGAAGAAAGCCUUUGGGCUAAUACCCUCGAGGAAGGACAUCACCCACAGAAGAAGCACCGGCUAACUCCGUGCCAGCAGCCGCGGUAAUACGGAGGGUGCGAGCGUUAAUCGGAAUUACUGGGCGUAAAGCGCGCGUAGGCGGUCUGAUAAGCCGGUUGUGAAAGCCCCGGGCUCAACCUGGGAACGGCAUCCGGAACUGUCAAGCGAGGGUGCAGGGGAGGAAGGGAGAAUUCCCGGUGUAACGGUGAAAUGCGUAGAGAUCGGGAAGAAUACCAGUGGCGAAGGCGGCCUUCUGGACUGACACUGACGCUGAGGUGCGAAAGCGUGGGUAGCAAACAGGAUUAGAUACCCCGAGUAGUC
RNAcentral lists this ribosomal RNA (466 nucleotides) under Vreelandella stevensii. Its description in RNAcentral is "partial 16S ribosomal RNA". It matches the Rfam family "Bacterial small subunit ribosomal RNA", at positions 338 to 795 of the family's 1533-position model. The record is from RNAcentral. Lineage: Bacteria; Pseudomonadati; Pseudomonadota; Gammaproteobacteria; Oceanospirillales; Halomonadaceae.